UACAGAGGGUGCAAGCGUUAAUCGGAAUUACUGGGCGUAAAGCGCGCGUAGGUGGUUCGUUAAGUUGGAUGUGAAAUCCCCGGGCUCAACCUGGGAACUGCAUUCAAAACUGUCGAGCUAGAGUAUGGUAGAGGGUGGUGGAAUUUCCUGUGUAGCGGUGAAAUGCGUAGAUAUAGGAAGGAACACCAGUGGCGAAGGCGACCACCUGGACUGAUACUGACACUGAGGUGCGAAAGCGUGGAGAGCAAACAGG
RNAcentral lists this ribosomal RNA (253 nucleotides) under uncultured bacterium. Its description in RNAcentral is "partial 16S ribosomal RNA". It matches the Rfam family "Bacterial small subunit ribosomal RNA", at positions 524 to 776 of the family's 1533-position model. The record is from RNAcentral.